Lates calcarifer (barramundi perch) is the source of this 901-nucleotide long non-coding RNA. RefSeq lists it as uncharacterized. The transcript has 5 exons. The record is from RefSeq and is a predicted model, not a curated record. Lineage: Eukaryota; Metazoa; Chordata; Actinopteri; Centropomidae.
AUAGAACUCCCCUGACUCGUCACCUAACCUCCCUGUGUGACAGCAGGAAGAACACGAUCAGGAAAUAGCAGGCGUCGGUAGCGUGCGGUUGUUAGACGAAGUUAAGAGACGAGAGAACUCUGAAGCAGCUCUGCUCUGUGACACAUUUUUUUUUUCUAUAAAACUAAUGUUGUCAGUGUCGUUAAAAAACACGACUCAUUGUUAUUUAAAAGUUUCGCGCCCGUCAUUCACCUCGAGGUCAGACGCCACAAGGGGGGAGGGGCAAAGAGUUCAUGAUGGACAUAUAAGCAGCACUAGAUGACAGUGGAGAGGAAAAAUUCCCUCUAAGGCAGAAACCUCAAGCAGAACCAGAUCCAGGGUGGGCGGCCAUCUGCCUCGACCGGUUGGGUUGAGAAAGCAGUUCCAGCAUGUAAUGUGAUGCCAGUGUCACUGUUCUAGCCCCAUACAAAAACAGUGUGGGAAGACUUCUAACUGUCCAAGCAUUUCUGGCCAGACCAAAGAGCCAAGGACUAUUUCUGGUGACACAAAAACUCUCAUUCAUACUUUAUACACCGCUUUGACUGAGCCUAUCAACCCAGUAUUUGUGUUGGAUUCUCUUUGACUCUCUACAGUGUUUUUAAGCUGAAAAUGGAUAGUGCUUGGUCAAGCUUCACACCUGAGGUGACCAAAGAAAGAGUAGGCAUGUCAUACAGGUUCAAGUUCCCUGGUUCAGGUCUGUUCCAUUGUUCUUUUACUGGGCUGGUGUUCAAUGUGACUCAUGAAGGGGAGGUCACGUACAAGUGUUUGAUCUGGGAUGACAUGCUCCUCCAACCGGCUAACAAGGUACCUGGAGGACCAUUGUUCAGAAUCAGUUGUCCUCAGGAGUCUAUCUCUAAGCUGUACCUCCCACACUGUGAACCAG